This 403-nucleotide ribosomal RNA is filed under the name uncultured bacterium. Its description in RNAcentral is "bacterial SSU rRNA". It matches the Rfam family "Bacterial small subunit ribosomal RNA", at positions 30 to 434 of the family's 1533-position model. The record is from RNAcentral.
AUUGAACGCUGGCGGCAUGCCUUACACAUGCAAGUCGAACGGCAGCACGGGGCAACCUGGUGGCGAGUGGCGAACGGGUGAGUAAUGCAUCGGAACGUGCCAUUGAGUGGGGGAUAACGUAGCGAAAGUUGCGCUAAUACCGCAUAUUCUGUGAGCAGGAAAGCAGGGGACCGCAAGGCCCUUGCGCUCUUUGAGCGGCCGAUGUCAGAUUAGCUAGUUGGUGAGGUAACGGCUUACCAAGGCGACGAUCUGUAGCGGGUCUGAGAGGAUGAUCCGCCACACUGGAACUGAGACACGGUCCAGACUCCUACGGGAGGCAGCAUGGGGAAUUUUGGACAAUGGGCGCAAGCCUGAUCCAGCCAUGCCGCGUGAGUGAAGAAGGCCUUCGGGUUGUUAAAGGACU